RNAcentral lists this ribosomal RNA (495 nucleotides) under uncultured bacterium. RNAcentral describes it as "partial 16S ribosomal RNA". It matches the Rfam family "Bacterial small subunit ribosomal RNA", at positions 28 to 507 of the family's 1533-position model. The record is from RNAcentral.
GACGAACGCUGGCGGCGUGCCUAAUACAUGCAAGUAGAACGCUGAAGGAGGAGCUUGCUUCUCUGGAUGAGUUGCGAACGGGUGAGUAACGCGUAGGUAACCUGCCUGGUAGCGGGGGAUAACUAUUGGAAACGAUAGCUAAUACCGCAUAAGAGUAGAUGUUGCAUGACAUUUGCUUAAAAGGUGCAAUUUCAUCACUACCAGAUGGACCUGCGUUGUAUUAGCUAGUUGGUGAGGUAACGGCUCACCAAGGCAACGAUACAUAGCCGACCUGAGAGGGGGAUCGGCCACCCUGGGACUGAGACACGGCCCAGACUCCUACGGGAGGCAGCAGUAGGGAAACUUCGGCAAUGGACGGAAGUCUGACCGAGCAACGCCGCGUGAGUGAAGAAGGUUUUCGGAUCGUAAAGCUCUGUUGUAAGAGAAGAACGAGUGUGAGAGUGGAAAGUUCACACUGUGACGGUAUCUUACCAGAAAGGGACGGCUAACUACGUG